This 25753-nucleotide long non-coding RNA is filed under the name Brassica napus (rape). RNAcentral describes it as "long non-coding RNA (BNAP_LNC019146)". The record is from RNAcentral. Lineage: Eukaryota; Viridiplantae; Streptophyta; Magnoliopsida; Brassicales; Brassicaceae.
GCCACCAACCUCACAACGCUCUCCUCCUCCGCCGCCUAUAGAACGUCCCGUUCAGUCUCCACCUCCACCUUCACCGCCUUCAGAGCGUCCUGUUCAGUCUCCACCUCCACCUUCACCGCCUUCAGAGCGUCCUAUUCAGUCUCCACCUCCAUUUUCACCGCCUUCAAGUCGUCCCCCUUCAUCUCCUCCUUCUCCUUCGCCGCCUUCAGAUCGUCCCAUUCAGUCUCCUCCUUCACCACCAGAAAACACCAGUCCACCGCCUUCAGAUUCUUUGCCACCACCAACAUUCUCUUCUCCUCCGGUACCAGGUCCCAAUAAUCCACCUCAAAACAACCUUACUCCUAGUUCUCCUGAUACUUCAAAUCCAACUCAUAGUACUAGUGGCAUCGGUACUGGACCUAUCCUUGGCAUCACCGUCGCAGUGGCGCUUGUGGUGUUCAGUCUCAUUGGCCUCCUUAUCUGGUGCAUAAGAAGACGAGAAAAACGGCUUUCAGCUGUUAGUGGUGGCUACGUCACACCAUCACCAAGAUCAGGUACUACUUUGAUUAACAUGUCACUUUUGUUUCUUACAUAAUGCCAUUUCUUGAUCUCUCACUACACAUGCACAGACUCAGCUUUCUUUAGAACGCAGUCAUCUGCACCAGGGAGUCAUCGCACGUACUUCUCACAGUCACAAUCAGGCGGGUUAGGCAACUCAAAGGCCUUGUUCUCGUACCAAGAACUUGUCAAGGCAACGAACGGGUUCUCGGAAGAGAAUCUAUUAGGAGAAGGUGGAUUUGGUUGUGUAUAUAGAGGGGUGUUACCAGAUGGGAGACUCGUAGCUGUGAAACAGCUUAAAGUAGGUGGAGGACAAGGUGACCGUGAGUUCAAAGCUGAGGUUGAGACGCUUAGCAGAAUCCAUCAUCGUCAUUUGGUUUCCAUCGUGGGACAUUGCAUCUCUGAUGACCGUAGAUUGCUUAUUUAUGAUUUUGUCUCUAACAAUGACCUUUACUUCCACCUUCAUGGUUAGUAAAAAAGCAUUUUACAAUUCAUAUAUACAUGGAUGCACACACCACUGGUACUUACAUUACGUCUUCUGAAUAGUAUCCAAAGAGGUUCUGGACUGGGCAACACGAGUUAGAAUCGCUGCUGGUGCAGCUCGUGGACUAGCUUACCUCCAUGAAGAUUGUAAGUUGCUUCUCACCUCACUGGUUUUAACCUUUUCAGUCAUUUUUUCUUGCUUUUGAUUGUAACCUUUUAAACCAUUUGGCUAUUCUUACUGAGCUGUCUAUUGUCAGGUCACCCGCGGAUCAUCCACAGGGACAUUAAGUCGUCUAACAUUCUUUUAGAGGACAACUUUGAUGCUCGGGUAACACAUUACUCCCCCUAUUCUUGAUUUUUCAAGGUUUUAGUUACAUGGUGACUAGUGCCGGUCCUGAGAUUUGGGGGAGGCUUCAGGUGAUUUAGUAAAGGUUUUGAAUAAUUUUUUUUUUUACAAAUUUGGGAAACUAUAUCUAUAUAAUUCGUUUCAAAAAAUUUGUGGGCUUUAGGCUAAUGUUUCACUAGGCUAUGCCCAAGACCGGCUCUAAUUAUUGGUGAAUUUGACAAUAUCUAAACCUCUCACUCUCUUGUAGGUUUCUGACUUUGGUCUUGCAAGAUUAGCUCUUGAUUGUAACACUCAUAUCACCACAAGGGUUAUGGGAACAUUUGGGUACAUUCUUGCUUGCCUAGUUUUGAUUAAAGGGCACAAGAUUGGCAUCUACUUGAUAUUUUUUUUACCUCAUUCAUCCUUUUGCAGCUACUUGGCUCCUGAAUAUGCAUCAAGUGGGAAACUAACAGAGAAAUCAGAUGUAUACUCCUUUGGAGUUGUUCUUCUUGAGUUAAUCACUGGACGUAAACCUGUUGAUACAUCUCAACCACUUGGAGAGGAGAGCCUUGUUGAAUGGGUACACCUUCUAUUCCAACCUUACUUAACCUGUAAAACAUGAUUAGUCCUUGAGCUGUUUCCCAGCUCUGUUGUUGUUCAGGCACGGCCACUGAUAAGUCAUGCCAUCGAAACCGAGGAGUUCGGUUCUUUAGCAGACCCUAAGCUUGGAGGAAACUAUGUGGAUUCCGAAAUGUUUAGAAUGAUUGAAGCAGCAGGAGCCUGCGUGCGCCAUUCAGCUGCCAAGAGACCCCGGAUGGGUCAAGUACAUAACAUUUUCUCUUCUUGUUUACUCUCAAGAGUUUUUUACUUUUGCUUAGAAAUUUGAAAUGUUUUUAUUGGCAGAUUGUGAGGGCUCUUGAGAGUUUAUCUGCGGAAGACCUCACUAAUGGGAUGAGACUAGGUGAAAGCGAGGUCUUUGACUCAGCUCAACAGUCAGCAGAGAUCAGAUUGUUCAGAAGAAUGGCUUUUGGUAGCCAAAACUACAGUACAGAUUUUUUCACACAUACUAGCUACAACAGCAGAGACCAAAACGUGUAAAUAUCAUACACAAGAUAUGUUUUUUUUUAUCUUCUCGGCGUUAAGAGGGAACAAAACCCAUCAAGAACAGCUAAGUUUUGUCUGAAAAGCUCCCAAGCUCACUUUCUUGAGUGCUCAAAACAGUAUGAAUCUCCUUUUGUUUCUUUGUUUACUCUUAACUUGUGUUCAUGUUCUUGUGUCCAUAUGGUGAAACUAAAGAGACUACCAAAUACAAUUUGCAGAAACAGACGAGCAUGUGGUAGAGGAAGAUGAGGAAUAAAGGUUUACUUAUGUUCUUGAGCAAGAGGGUUUUGUUUCUUACAUGAAAGCACUUUUUGUAUCUAUUUUUUUUUAUGUUUCUAAUUUUUUUUUAAAUCUUUACCUUCAAGUUUUAUGAUAAAUCAACAAGGAUCUUUCUGUGUCUCGUUGAAGAACGUGUUGAUCUGGCUCAAGUUAUACAUCUAAGAAGACGCAUUUACCCCUAUGAAUCACCAUGAUGGAGAGUAUAAUCAAAGGAACGUAGGAAACAAAAGAAUCUUAGUUGCUUUGACGUCCAAGAUACCUAAACAAUGCUUUUUUAAAGUGUAAAGAUCCCUUGUGGAUUUUCAUACAGUUAUGAGAAAAAACAAACACAUGGGAUGUUGCUUUGCGUUGCAUUGUUGAUACCAAUAUUGGCAAAGGAACACAUUCCUUUGACACAAUCCUAUGUAACCUCUCAAUCUAUGUUUCCUCCUUCCUUUAUAUCUUUGUUGUUUUACCUUAACAGUUUUCAAUGCAUCAAAAACAAUGGAACAAGAUUGUGGUGCUUUUACAGCAGAUUGUGUUGUCCUCUGUUGCUGCUGUGAGUGCUUUAUCCUACAGUUCUUUAUCUUCGUCUUCUACAAGAUGCCUUCUAAAGUUGCUCACAAGAUGAAGAGGUUUGUCAUCAGGAGGCUGCUCAGAGGAAAGAAGAGAAGAUUGCUGCCUGCAAAGGAUGAGGAUUGCAGAGAAGAGGAGCGUUUGCCUGGUGAUGUCUCCAGAGUUAGUUGCAUGGAAGAUAUUGAGGAGAUGUUGCAUGAGCUCUCCAUGGAGGGAGAGUUUGUAUUUGGGAGUUUCUGGCGUCAAGGAGAGACUACAAACGAUUUUGACUUCGGAAACUCACAAUAUGAAAUAGAAGAAACCAAUGAUCAUUCCUUUGUCAUUGCUCAUCACACAAGAUGUCUUCAUUGCUCUAAGAAUGACAAUAUAUUAAAGGAAUCUUGAAAGAGCCAAAGAGAAAAGACUUAGAUGCUAUCUCUCUACUAGAAGUAUGGUGUAUAAUCUUCAGAGUUCACUGUAAGAAUCUACUUUGUUAAUCAGGCAAGGCGCUCAAGAAUCAGAAUGUACAACUGGUUAACAGUCUAUUUACGUCCUGGCAAGUCGGUUGUAAAAUGGUUAACUCAUGAUUCAGGCUCUGACCUCCUCACUGAUCUCUUUUUAGCUUCUAAUCUUGCGGUGAACCCAACUGUUGUAGGCCUUAUUGAUCUUUGCCUCACCAUAUCACAGUACUCAGGGUCAUUACACUGACCCUCAUACCUCAGCCACUGUAUCAUCCCAUGGUACAUUGGGAAGAACCUCAUCUGAACCGCGGAGUAGAUGAAGUAAGGCAGCAAAGUAGAUACAACCACAAAGAGAGUGAUGACCCAGUAAGAAAGCGACGGCGCCAGAGCUUCAACAAAGACUCUAUACGCACUGGUUGAUAUACUCGCUGGAAGCUCUCCGUAGACGGUCAUGAAGAGGUACCAAACGAGGAUGGAUCCCCAAAUGACAAUGUGCUGGAUGAGUGUGAAGUAACUGAUGGCUAAUGCCAUCUGCAAGUUCACAACCCAGACGAUGCAUGUGUACAUUGUCCCUCCUAAUAUCUCUUUCCCAGGGGUUUUGCCUUGGUGGUUGAAAGCUUGUGGCUCAAGAGAGCUUUUGCAGAGGAAGAAGAUGAUUACUGCGCUGUAGAAUCCGUUGAACAUCCAUCCAAGUAUCCUCCGCCAGCUGAAGAGAACGUUUUGCACACCUUCUUGGUAUAACAGUGGAAACUGUGAAUCCAAAGACAAAACAAAGAGUUUAGUACACAUUGUUUAAUACUCUCUCCGUUCCCGAAAGAAUAUAUUAAAAAUACAAUAUAUGGUUACAAUUAAAUUUAUUAUUUAUUUUUACUAUACACUUUCCAAUAACUAUCAACCAAUGAUAUUUAAUCAAUUUAAAUAAGUUUAAUUAAUAUUUCUUAAUUAUAUACAAAAGUACUUUAAAAAUAUUGAAAAUCUAGUAUUUAUGGAACAAGAGGGAGUAUGUCAGAAGAGUAAAGCUGUUUUAAUGUAAUGAAAGAAGUUUACCUUGAGACAGUACCGUGCAGAUACAUCUUGGUCGAAGACACCAAGAGCAAUAACCGGAAGGGACGAGAAGCAAACAUUGUAAAGAGAUAGGAACCAAUCGUUGUAAGCAGGUGUUGAUGAGAAUGUUGUGUAUGCUUCAUACAAGAAGAGAGUGAAACCAAACGUAAUGUUCUUGUAGAAGAAGUAGCAAAUCUGUGAAACAGAGAAAACUACUGUCAAGAUUAUGUUAAAGAGACUCAUGUCACACGCACACUAAAGUGGGUAUAUACCAUUGUUGAGAUACGCCUGUAACACCAGUGUCCAUGGACUAAUAACAAACGUUCCAGAUAUCUAAACUGAGCAAUCGCAAUGUCACUUGACAUUACAGCCUGCAUGCCUUCCACACCGCUGAUGCCCACACCAAUAUCUGCUUCUUGAAGCAUCCCAACAUCAUUUGCGCCAUCACCAAUAGCUAAUGUUGUUUUACCAUUUCCAGAUUUUACUAGCCUUGUCACCUACAUUUGCCAUGUACUUCUUGAGAAAAAUCUUGACAGUAAACAAAAGUUUAAACCAAAGAAACUGACCAGAGCUUUCUGUUUUGGUGAUGAACGACAGCAAAUGACAGAAGCACAACCAACGGCGAGCUCUAAGAAGAUGUGUUUUAUAUCAUCGUCCAAGGCGUAAGCAAGUGACUUCCCAUCAAUGAUCAAAGCAAAAGCAUCAGAGUUCCCACCAGCAUACUUUAGCUGAGUCUUUCCAUUGAUUAUCUGCAAUAAGACAUUCUCUUUUGAUGCCUGCAAGAUCAAACCAACCACUUUGAUUCAUUUUAUCUUACAUAAUCUUCUGAAGAACUAUCAAUGUUUUUUUUAAAAAACCUUAGCAAUGGCAUCUUUCUCUCCAGUUUUCUCCAGUGAGUGGAUCUCAGGGGUCUCCAAGUUGAUUAUGAUCUGCUUCAUGUCUUGUCUGAGUAAACUACUGGCAAAGCUGUCAAAGAGACGCAUACAAAAGAGUUCAUAGAGUGGAGAGAAUAAACAAACAAAAAAAACUAUAUACAUGAACUCAAAGAGUAGGUGAUACCCAGAAAAAUAGAUACCCAAUAUUGAUAGCAGUCUCCAUUUUGUCACCAGUCAAAACCCAAAUCUUGAUUCCUGCUUGUGCUAGCUUGUCAAUGCAAUCAGGGACCUGAAAAAAAUCAAUGUUAAAAGUGUUUUCAAUACACUAAAAUGAUUAUAUGUAUAACAUCAGUGGCCAUGCUUACUCCAUUUUGGAGUUUAUCCUCAACAGCGGUAGCUCCAAGAAGGAUCAAGUCUUUCUCAACUUUCUCCGUGACUUCCUCUAUCAAUGAUUCUCUAUCAGCACUAACCGAGCUCUUUGCUUCACUGAUUCUCACACUAAAAUCUUUGUAUUCUUUCUCGUCGAGUUCACGGUAUGCAAGUAUCAAAGUUCUAAGGCCUGCAUCAGCAUACUCGUUGACAUGGUCCCUUGUUUCCACCUCAAACUCUCUACCGUUCUUAGAAAGUCUCUCAAACAUAACACUGGUCAAAGAAACAAAAUAAGUUCAAAAAAGAAGAUAUGUUUUUUUUUUAAUAAAGUCACACUUACUUGUCUGCUCCUUUACAAAGUAGUAAGAGCUUCCCAUCUUCAUCCUGCACUAUCACCGACAUUCUCUUCCUUGUGCUGUUGAACUCAAGAACGUUCAGCACUUUGUACAGCCUCUCAACUCUUUUGCCAGUCACAAGAUCAAGCUCUCUUACAGAUAUACUAGUUUGAGUUCUGUUAUAAAACUCAAACCCAAGCUCCCUUGCUGCAAUAACAAAAGCUGCUUCAUCAGGAGACUCAGCCUCAUAAGAGAUCUUCUCUGUGUCCUCAUCCCCUUCAGGUAUCACCGUAUGGCACACCGCAAGCAAUCUCAAAAACUUCUGAAUAACAUCAGCGUGAGGUUCAGUGACCCAGUUCCCAUUCAUUAUCCUCUCAUCUCUAAAAUUAAACCCUUUCACCUUGGCCUCUUCAGCAAACGGUUCCUUAUUGUACUCCACAUCAUCGCUCUGAAGCACCAGAGGAGAGCCUUUCCUCCUUCCCAUAGCCAUCUCAACCUCAGUGACGCCGCGUCCGUAAGCCGUCCCGGCGACAGAACACUUGAUGAACUCCAUGGAGUUGCAAGUCAAUGUCCCAGUCUUGUCGGAGAGGAUUGUAUCCACCUGACCAAGCUCCUCGUUUAAAUUAGAGGUUCUUGCACGAGCCGGCUUGUUGGCUUCCUCGUAGUACAUGUGGAUGUCUUGGUUGAUGAAGAUGCUCUGAAGGACUUUAACAAUCUCUAUCGAGACAUACAAAGAUAUUGGAAUGAAGUAGCUGUACAGCAUAGCCGCUGUUAGGAAGUGAUAGAAGGCAGCAACAUGAGCUCUCUUGGGGUCAAAGAAGAUAGAUGAGCUGUCUGGUCUCAAGUACCAUCUCUUCACCACACUGUCCUUGAAGUCAUCUCUCGUUGUGACUCCAAAGAUGACUGAGCCAAUGAAUGACAUCAGAACCACCAUGAAGAACAUGAGGUAGAUGAUCUUAUCCAUCUUUCUCUCAAUCAUGCUUCUCUUGGAAGGAGGAUCCGUUGAGUUCUGUAUGACCUUUGUGUCGUGACCGGUGAAGAUAACCGCGCCGAAGAUGAACUCCGUGUUCCUGAGCUUUGAGUCUCUGAGGAGAAGCUGCUGAGGCGAGAGAGGGUACUUGGUUCCUUUGAGCUCCAUGGUUCCGACAAAGGAGUACAAGUUGGCGUUUGGAUCCUCGCAUUUGACAAAAGCCUCAAAGCCCUUGAAGUUAAAGUCUUCCCUCAAGGAGGAAGUGACUUCUAGUCCUUGUUUGACUUUGAGAUUGGUUUCGCCGUCUAGGUUCAUCGUCUCUACGUAGCAGAUAGCGUCCUCGUAGCUAGAUGAAAGGAGAACAAGAUCUGCAGGGAAGAACUGGUUCUUUUCUACCUUCACUAUGUCUCCGACGCUUAAAGUCUUCCACUCCUUGGAAUCAAAGUUCCCAUCUCCUCUAUGCACUUUUACUCUCCUAUUAUUCACCUCAAUAUCCUAAUAACAUGAAAAUGCUUGUAUCUUUCAGACAAGAUCAAGAAAAAGACUAGUCAUGGGCAUAUUAUCCGAAACCCGAAAACCGAACUGGAGCUGAACCGAAUAAACAAAACCAAAACCCGACCAAAGUUUACAAAAACUCGAACGGUUCCUAUUUCUCUAUUCUCUACAAAAAAAAAUGGAAACCCAACCUGAAACCGACAUUAUCCGAACCCAUCCGAUCCAAAAGAUUCUAUAUUUGCAAAUACUCUCGGAAUAAGAAAUCAGUGUAGGCAGCGUCUAGGCGCCGCUUAGUGGAUAAAUCGGAUCUGAAUGAAACGAUAUUUUCAAUCCAUUCUUUUAAAAAGAAAUUGGUCUAGAUGUUCAAAAAAUCGUUCUUGGCAAUAAUUCUCUAUGAUGCGCCUAACCACUACUUAGCGCGAUUUAUUGAACAUUAAACAAGACCAUAAUUAAGAUUGCAAGAAACUAAAGAAUCAAAGAGUGUACCUGCUUGUUGCGGCGCCAAUCUUCAACACCUUCUUUAACCAUAGUAGCACCAAUAACGAAAAGGAGAGGAAAAAUGGCACUUGCAGCAGUGUAAGGAGCCAAGGGAGUGAAAGACAAGACGCCAGUGACCAAGAAGUAGAAGUUUGCGACUCUUCUGAACUGCUCAAAGAGCGAUUUUGGUAAGAAAGUGGCGAGAGUGUACUUGGUUGUUCUCACGUAGUUGUCGCUGUAGCUGCUCGAGUCAGCUUCGGGUGAAUCAGGCUCGUUGAUGAAGACGAGACGAGAGUAACCGGGUCCUCCGAUUUGAGAGUGGUCUUGCUUGAAAAACGCUUGAGUGCAUGUGAGUGUGUAGAGCUUGCUUAAGUGGAUUCUUCUCCUUCUUCGUCUCUUUAGUCCACUUCCUGCCAUUGAUAGAGAGAGAUCUGCAGGAGACAACAAAAAACUUUGAAUCUUUUUUGGAUAUUCAAGAAACCCUGAAAAUUAUAUUCAGACAGAACCGAAUUAUUAUAAUAACACCCGCGAGAACAUUUUAAAAAUGAAGAAAAAUAAAAGUAUCAUUUUUUGGCUUUUUUAAAUUAAAAGAAAAAGAAAAGAAAAAAAAAAGACAGUAAGCGAUUAAGGCAGGACCUCAAACCAACCGAGGAGAAAAGCAGACAAGACCGUGACUGGUUUUAUUCUCCGACCUCGUUUUCUGCGACUCUCUCCGGUUACCUAAAUUUGUUUUUUUUCUUUCUCGGGAAAAUGGAUUUAGAAAAAUUGAGUGAGUGAGAGAGCUGAGAUCAAGAAGGGUGUUUACGAAAGGUUGUGAUCUAUUAUGAGAAAGUUAAGAUCUUUUUAAUCUUACAAGCCAAGAAAAUGGAGCUUGAGUGAGAGAGAUCUCAUGGAUUUUUAUGAAUUUAUAGCCAGAAUGAUCUUCUGCCAAUCCAAACAAACUGGGAAGACGAAGAGGACGAGGAAGAAAGAAACAGAGAGAAAGUGCCAAGAUUCGGACAAGUCAUGGUUCCCUUUCUAGAAAUAAUUAAUAAUAAUGUUUGAUGGAAUAACAACAGCAAAUCUCAAAUCCUCUCAUAAAAAAAAAUAAUAAUUAAAAGCAUUCAAUAGAAGGAAACAAACUUUUGCUCUGUGUACAGACAGAACACAGAAAACUGGACUUCUUUUUUUUUUUUAAUUUGUAUGUUCUAAUGAUUGUCAGAUUAUCAGAAGAACAUACGAGAAAAAAAAAAAGAAGUGAGAAUUAAUUUUGGUUAGAGAGGGGAGAGAUGAAGAAGGAGAAGAAUCGAUUGGAGGAACAUUAGAUGCGCCGUCGUGGCUGAGAGAAGGUGAGACCAGCACACAAAAUGCGGGUCAAACACACUUUAAAUUCAUCUAUUGCAUGAAUGAAUUCUUCUUAUUAUUAUUUAAUAGUAUAGAUAUUCUCUCUUUAUUACUUCCUCCCUUUCGAUAUAAAUGAUGUCUCAGGUGAUUUUUUUUAUUUCAUAAUAGAUGAUAUUUUCACGUAACAAUAGAUGAUGUUUUCACAUAUCUAAUUAAUUUUAAUUUUAUCAAAAACUGUGUAGCCAAUUGUGUUUUUAUUAUUUUUGUUUAUAAUUAAAUAAAUUAGUUUUAAAUUAUAUUUUAAUGAUUUUUGUCUAGAAAAUAUAAUUUUUUUAAUAUGUGUGCAAAGAACCAAAACUUUAUCUAUUAUGAAACGGAGGGAGUGGUAUAUAAGUGACUCUUGCAGCAAAGGAUUGAUCCUUCUGGUAUAACCCAACCAUAAAUAGGAGGACUGUACAUUUAAUUAGAGUAAUUAAAAUGUGAUAUUAUUCUAUUUUUAAACCAUUAUAUUAUAUAUGCUCAUAUUACUUUUCUUCAUUUUCUCUUUGACUAAUAAUAUAUAUAAUGAGUACAACUCUAUAAAAAUGGAAUAAUUAAAUAUAAGAUGUUCUUAUGUUGAUUGCAAAAGUUCAUAUUAUAAUGAGAGUACUGAUGAACGAAGGUAGUCACGUCACAUAAGACUCACCAAAAGCACAUUAAAAUCGAUCUUCCAGUCAUAUUAUUAAGUUGAUCCGAUCCCACCAGACAAAACCCCAGUCUCGAGAUCAUAUGGAGAUAUCUUUUUUUAUGAUACUGUUGGAUUGCUUAUAGACUAUAGUGAAGGGAAUUUUUAGCUAACUCAAUCAGAUCCGAUCCAAUACAAGAAUGGAUGGUAGUUCAAACAAUUUAGAUAAAUGAAUUUAAACAUGGAAGAUCAUGAAUGUCAACAUAUCAUAUGCACAUUUUUGUUUGGUUUAAAAUUCAAAAUCCCACAAACACUCAAUUUAUCAUAAUAGUGCUAAUAAUGAAAUAUUUUUUUGCUCAAUGAGUUGGGGGAAGGACUUUAUAUUCUCAAGAAUUUGGUAUGGGUUAUUAGGGGACUUUGGAUUUAAUGCAUAAAACAUGCCACCGGCUUUGUAUAGUUUGGUAUGCAUCAUUUAUUGAAUGAAUGUGGCUUUCAAGUUUCAACUAAAUGUACUUCCUGGUUCACAAAUACCUCAUAAUUUAUUAAAAUGAAAAUUGAACAAUUAUAUUGAUUCAUAUCGUUAGUUUUGCUCUGUUUGAAACGCUAAUGCAUGCAAUUAAUCAACUUCCUCUUGGUGACAAAAAAUAAAUAAACUAAACGUCUGUUUCUGCCUUUCUAGGUAUCACUUAUGUAGAGGCAUACUUUUUGUUUGCAGCCUCUUAGGUUUUCUCCUGUUUUAGCCAUUACUAUGCUACAGCAAUGAAAGGUGUGUAAAAUCUAUAAUAGAUUCUAAAGAUCACGAUCAAUUAUUUUAUGCAUUUUGUUUCAUGCACACGCAAUCAUCGUAAUACCUAAUAGCGCUGGGAAUUUGAGUUUACGGUUCGGGUUAAGUCGGGUUAUUCGGGUUUCAAGUUAUUGAGGUUGUGGUGUUUAGGACUCGCUCAUGAACCGAACAUUUUUUUGGAUAGGGUCAGUUUUGGUCGGGCUCCUAUCUUUUUAUAAAACCCAAAACAUAACCGAGAAUUAGAAAUUGUUCGGAUUUAGUGUGUGGCGUUUGAUUUUGACUGCGAGGGAUCUUCCGCCGGAAUGGUUUCCGCACGACCCGGAGUGGACUUCUUCCAUUAUUCUUCGAGCUUUCUCUCCCUCUACGCAGGUCAUGAGUGGCCCGGAAAAUCUCCACUUGUAGAGUUCUCCGUCGACCAAGACGUAUCGCGCGGAUUGGGUCUUAAUCUUUCGGGCUGCCCAUUUUUCUGCCGGGAGUUUCCGUCGGCGAUGUAUGCGAGGAUAGAUUAUGUCCAAGGUUUACUGAAUCCAUACUCGGACAGCUCUGGAUCCUGCACUGCCUGGAUGUCGACUUCGUCGGGAUCGCCGUCGGGUGAAUCGAUUAAGUUUAUAAUGACAAGAGGCCCGAUGCUAGGAUGCUCUAUGAACUCUAUGGGAAUUACCCUGCUCAACCCCGGAUCUGAACUAGACGCCAAGGCGGCUAGGGCGUCGACCUGAACGUUUUCGGCACGAGGGAUCCGAGUGAGAGCGAACUGAUCGAAACUUUGAACCAAGUUUUGAACAAGAUUUAGGUAAGCAUCCAUUCUCUCGUCCCUUGCUUCGUAUUCCCCGUUGUAUUGGCUUGCUACAAGUUGGGAAUCGCAAUAGGCGUGAAUGCUGCGUAUCUUCAGGCCGUGAGCCAAUCGUAAGCAUGUGAUUAGGGCUUCGUACUCGGCUUCAUUGUUUGAGGCGUGGAACACUAGUCGAAAUGACUGUUCAGCACUUCCCCACAAACUUGACUAGCAAUUACAGCCAUAUACUUUGUUAUUACGUCCAUUGACUACCAUUUUACAGUCAUAGACUUCAUUACGUUUAUUGACUUACGUGUGGUAUACUUUUUUAUUAAUAAAUUAUACUUUAUAUAUAAUUAUUUUAAAAUUAAAUAAAUAAUAUUGUUUUGUAUUUUGGAUAUUCGAUUAUUUGUUCGAUUUCCGAUGGUUCUAGUUUUUUGGGCUUAGAGAAAUAAAAACUGUUCGGAUUAUUAUAAAUUUUGGUUUGGUUUCAGUUUUGCUUUUUUCUGAUUUGGUUAUAGUUCUGUUUUGGGGUUUUGGAUAAUAUACCAUAUUAAGUAAAUCAUCUUAACGUCGUUUUAGCUAAAUCACUUUCCUAAAUUUUAGUAGAGUUAAACAAUGUUCAAGCUCAUUUUAAAGAUCAGUCCUGUGAUUAAAUUUGUUGACGAUUGUUCGUCGUCAGCGAAUAUCGUUGAUGCUAGUUUUUAUAGUGUGCAUGGAUAUGCUGUAGGCGUUUUAAACGUUUAAGAAUAAACUUGACUCAUCUUGAGUUUGGGAUCUAGUUCCUUUCUUUGAUAUUUGUUUGCGGCCAAGCAUUACAAUAACAUGAAGGGAGUUUGGAAGACAUAACAAAAUCUUUCCUAGUGGUGCUCAAUUAUAAUACAAAUGCGCGCGAUUGACCCCAGGGGAGGGGGGGAGAUUAUUGGGCCAUAUUGGACCGAUGUAUCUAUUGUAAGUAGCCCGGUUCAUAUUACGGGAUUAGGGCAAAAGAACAUACGUUGUAUAUAAGCAGUUAGUCUGCGUUACUUGAUGAAUAAGAAGUAUCCUUUAUACUGCUGAGACUUCUUGACAUGGUAUCAGAGCAAGAAGCCUAAGUACUACAAGUUUUCUUGGCUCACUGAUUUUGAGAUCUCUUUAUCCGUUGCGAGGUUUGAUAAGUUAACAACUUCUCUUUGAAGCAAAGUAUAUAUGGCUGGUACUACAAUGACGAAGGGGCGACGUACAAUUUCGCCCUAUGACCUUACUUCUGGCGAUAACACAGUGACUGUCAUUGCCAAACCGCCUUUGCGUGGAUCUAACUACGACGAGUGGUCCACAGACCUUAAGUUAAAGAAAUUUGGUUUUGCGGAUGGGACAAUACCGCAACCCAGUGAAGAUUCAGAGGAUUAUGAAGAUUGGAUCGCAAACAAUGCACUUGUGGUAUCUUGGAUGAAGUUGACGAUUGAUGAGAACAUCUCAACUACCAUGUCUCAUAUCGAUGACUCUCAUGAACUCUGGACUCAUAUACAGAAUCGUUUUGAUGUUAAGAAUGGACAACGCGUUCAACGUCUUAAGACUGAUCUAGCGAACUGUAGACAGAAGGGAACUGUUAUUGAGACUUAUUAUGGGAAACUGUCUCUGUUAUGGAGGAGUUUAGCUGACUACCAAAAGGCUAAAAUUAUGGAAGAAGUAAGAAAAGAACGUGAGGAAGAUAAGUUGCAUCAAUUUCUCAUGGGGCUCGAUGAAACACUAUAUGAAGCAGUUAAAUCAUCAUUGUUGUCUCGUGUGCCUUUGCCAACGCUUGAGGAAGCGUACAACACUUUGAUUCAAGAUGAAGAAUCAAAACUAUUGGGACGCAUGAAUGAAGAACGCACUGACACUGUGAGUUUUGCAGUCCAAGCUGGCUCACGAUCGCGCCCUUCUAAUGAGAAUAGAGGAUUUUCUGAAAACAAAGUCUGUUCAAAUUGUGGUCGCAAGGGACACACGUCGAAGAACUGUUUUCGCCUAAUAGGAUAUCCAGAGUGGUAUGAAGAGAAACACAAGAACAAGCUGGGUUCCUCUCGCGGCAAUUUGAAUUCUGGUGCUGGGCGUGGCUCGAAUAUGCAAGGUGGUGUUUCACAAGGAAGGGGUAAUGGUGCUGGUCGGAGCUCUGCUCAGGCGAGUCAUGUUUUUGCGGGUGGAGCUUCAUCAUCUCCUUCUCUUACUUCAGCUGAUCGAAUGGGCAUAAGUGGACUGAGUGAUUCUCAGUGGAAGACACUUGUUCACAUGCUCGAGGAAAGAAAAACCACACCUAUGGAGCAUCGCUCUGGUAAGCAAUUUCUUGAAUCAUGGAUAUUUGAUUCUGGUGCGACUAAUCAUAUGACUGGAUAUUAUGAGUAUUUGUCUGAAGUUGGUGAUAUGGCUCCUGUUUUAAUCAAACUUCCGGAUGGUCGUUUUACUACUUCGACUAAACACGGAUACGUUCGUUUGGGUUCUUCUUUGAGCCUGCAGGAAGUAUUCUUUGUAGAUGGACUUCAUUUUCAUCUAAUAUAUGUUUCUCAGUUGACUCGAGACAGUGGUUGUGUUUUUCAAGUUACUGACAAGCUUUGUAUUCUUCAGGAUCGCAUCACGAGGAUGCUGAUUGGUGUGGGUGAGCAGGACAAUGGGCUUUAUUUUUUUAGAGGAUUGGAAAUGGCAGCAGCAGUACACGGUCAGAUUCGAACUCGACCGAUGUGUGGCACAGUCGCCUUGGACACCCCUCCUCUAAAGCCUUAAAGAUGUUGCAGUUUUCUGAUUUCAGUACUAGUUCUUUUGAUUCAAAGCUGUGUGAGAUUUGUAUUCGAGCAAAACAAACAAGAUAUUCUUUUCCUUUAAGCAUCAAUAAGACGAGUUUUGCAUUUUAACUGGUUCACUGUGAUCUUUGGGGUCCGUAUAGGACUACUGCAAUCUGUGGAUCGAGAUAUUUUCUCUUUGUUCUAGAUGAUUACUCUUGGGCAGUGUGGAUAUAUCUCUUACCUUCAAAACAAGAGGCACCCACGCAUCGCAAAAACUUCAUCGCUUUGGUUCAGAGACAAUUCUCGAUUCAAGUAAAAACAAUUCGUAGUGACAAUGGAUCCGAAUUUGUUUGUCUCUCACGUUUCUUUGCGGAACAUGACAUCAUCCAUGAGACAAGCUGUGUGGGUACUCCACAACAAAACGGACGGGUUGAACGGAAACACAUGCACAUACUUAAUACUGCACGUGCGCUGAGGUUUCAAGCGAACCUCCCCGUUGAUUUCUGGGGUUUAUGUGCUCUUACUGCUGCAUACCUUAUAAACAGAACACCGACAAAGCUUCUUCAAGGGAAAACGCCGUUUGAGAUGAUUUAUCACAGAUCACCACCAAUGGAUCAUCUCCGAGUAUUUGGUUAUGUUUGUUACGUUCAUAACCAAAAGCAUAGAGGUGAUAAAUUUGAAAGUAGAAGCAAUCGAUCAAUAUUUAUUGGGUAUCCUUUUGCAAAGAAAGGAUGGCGUGUCUACAAUUUAGAGACCGAUGUUGUAUCAGUCUCACGGGAUGUGGUAUUUCUCGAAACAGAGUUCGCGUAUCCACCAACAUCGAUCUCUUCUCCGACUGAUGAUGAACCUGAUCAGCCUACUGCAGCUGAUCCGAAUGAUCUAGACUCUCUAGUUAGAGAGAGUGCAUCGCCUAUUCCUACUACUGGAACGAUGCUCCCCUUGCUAUUGCAGCUGAUGUAGCUCAACCUAUUCUUGCAGAUGCUGGAUCUUCUUAUGUCAUCAUUGACGAUAGCGACGAAGUGGGAACUGUGUCUCUGCCUUCGCUUGUUCUUACUCCUGAACCGGUGGUAGUUGCGCCUCCUGUUCAUACUACUGAAGAAGCUACUUCUGAAUAGGAACCUGAACCUCUUGGCCGAGGUUUUAGAUAGAAGAAGCCACCUACAUGACUUGCUGACUAUGUAGCAACAUUGUUACAUGAACUGACACUUUCGGCUACUCCAUAUCCUCUUGAAAAUUAUCUUUCCAGCGAGCACUUCUCAAUGAAUUAUCAAGCGUUCCUUGCUGUGAUAACUUCUGCUGUUGAACCACAGACUUACGCAGAGGCAAUCAAAGAUGAAAAAUGGAGAUUUGCAGUAACUCAUGAAAUUGAUUCUCUUGAAGAUCAAGGUACAUGGACAGUCGAAGCCUUACCUCCUGGAAAGAAAGCACCUGGUUGCAAAUGGGUAUUUAAAAUUAAAUUCAGAGCAGACGGCACGGUUGAGAGAUACAAGGCUCGGUUAGUGGUUCUUGGGAAUCAUCAAUAUGAAGGCAUUGAUUAUACUGAGACGUUCGCACCUGUCGCAAAGAUGGUUAUGGUCUGUACUUUUCUUCAGCAAGCAGUAUCUUUAGACUGAGAAGUACAUCAAAUGGAUGUUAAUAAUGCAUUUCUUCAUGGAGACCUCGAAGAGGAAGUGUAUAUGCAGUUUCCUCCUGGUUUUCGUACCAAUGACAAAACAAAAGUAUGUCGUUUGUGAAAAUCGCUUUAUGGCUUAAAGCAAGCGCCUCGAUGUUGGUUCGGAAAAAUUGCGGCUGCUUUGAAAGAGUAUGGUUUCGAAAAAAUCAUUCUGAUUACUCUCUCUUCAUUUAUGCUGCAGCUGGAGUUCGGUUACAUGUACUUGUGUACGUCGAUGAUUUGAUCAUCACUGGAAGUUCUGCUGCGAUUAUCACUGAGUUCAAACAGUAUUUGAGUACGAAAUUUCAUAUGAAGGAUUUGGGAGUCUUGCGAUAUUUUUUGGGGAUUGAAAUUGCUCGCAGUCCCGCAUGAAUUUACUUGUGUCGACGGAAGUAUGCUCUGGAUAUUAUUACAGAAACUGAUCUUCUUGGGGUCAAGCCUGUCUCGUUUCCUUUGGAACAAAAUCACAAGCUUGCUCAUGCCAAAGAUACUCCAUUCUCUGCACCGUCCAGAUACCGUAGACUGAUUGGUCGUAUCAUAUAUCUUGGAGUCACGAGACCAGAGCUUUCGUAUGUGAUACAUUUAUUGUCGCAGUUUAUGAAUGAUCCGCAAGAAGAACAUUGGAAUGCUGCUCUUCGUGUUGUACGAUACCUAAAGAAUAGUCCAAGACAGGGAAUACUUCUUCGUGCAAACACUGAGCUGAAGAUUACAGCAUGGUGAGAUGCGGACUGGGGCACUUGUCCGACCACUCAUCGUUCACUCACGGGAUGGUUCAUGCAAUUAGGAGGUUCUCCGGUAUCUUGGAAAACACAUAAGCAUGAUGUUGUCUCGCGAUCGUCUGCCGAGGCAGAGUACCGCGCAAUGGCUGAUACUGUUAGCGAACUUCUUUGGUUUCGCGGGUUGCUUCCAGAAAUGGGGAUAACGUGUGAUGCUCCUAUUGUUCUCCAUUCAGAUAGUAUGUCUGCAAUUCAUUUGGCCAAGAACCCUGUGUAUCACGCUCGCACCAAGCAUGUUGGGAAUGAUUGCCACUUCAUUCGAGAUGAGAUCAUUCGAGGCACGAUUGCAACUAAACAUGUCUCGACGAAGUCGCAGCUCACGGAAAUUAUGACAAAGGCACUGGGACGUCGAGAGUUUGAAGAAUUCCUUGGCAAGCUGGGUGUUUGUAACCUCCACACUCCACCUUGAGAGGGGGUAUUGGGCCAUAUUGGGCCGAUGUAUCUAUUGUAAGUAGCCCGGUUCAUAUAACGGGAUUAGGGCAAAAGAACAUACAUUGUAUAUAAGCAGUUAGUCUGCGUUACUUGAUGAAUAAGAAGUAUUAUUUAUACUGCUGAGACUUCUUGACAGAGAUGGUUAAGAACGGGAGAAGCGAGAGUAGGUUCAUUUUUGUCAAAAUGUGAUCUAAGGUCUAAUUUUCGUGUCUAGCCAGCUUAUAAACGUCAUUGAAGAAAAUAUAUGUACCUCUGACAUAAAGUGUGUGAUCGUGGAUUCGUGGGUAUAUCUUAGCUUUAGUGUAUUCGAAUUCACGAUAUGUGAAGAUGUACGUGACUUAGAGCAGGAUUAUCGCGGGUUACAAGAAGGGGUUUCAAGUGGUGGGACCCAUUUUUUGGGUUAAAAACGGUAACAGAGGAGAGGAAAUAAGGAUCGACUUUGGUAUAUUUCUUGCACUAUUCAUAGACCCCACUGACACGUGACGACCCGCGAUUGGUGGUCUUUUUAAUUUUUUUUUUUUUUAAUCAGCUUGAAAAAAAAAUGGGAAAAUUUGUGCCUAUGAAAACCUGGUCUUAACCUUAGUUAAUUCUAGAUGAAUGGCCUAGUGCGUCGCUCUCAAUGGAAGUAUUUUAGUUGUUAUUGUGUCACUAGUCGAGUUUAAUAUUAUGAAUUUUUUUUUGACAAUUUUAUUAUAUUUUGAUAAUUGGUACGAAGUGAUAUUUAUGAGGUCAUUUGUUUUUAAUAUUUGUUUUUAAAAUACACAAAAGUACAAUAAAAAUAUUUUGUUUAUUACAAAAGUCAGCAAUAGAAACUAUCAUAAAGUCACAAGGUACAUAUACGCAUAAAUGAAGUAUUACGGGUGAUCUUAAUUUGUAGAAUUGAUCAUCACCAUAUGUAUUAACUCAACUUUUUACUCUGUACGUAUAAACGAUUUGCUUCGUUCACUCUUAGAAUCAGAACUCUAAAAGUUAAUUAAUUGAUCAUAUGUGGUACACUGGUACUUGUCAUUAUGGCACCAAGCGAAUUUCACUUUACGGCGAAUGAGAACGCAUCCGAUUUUUUCAUAUAACUAACGUUUGAAUUGUUUUCGAGCAUGAUUAACCCAGAAUUCUUAGAAUAGGGUUUUUAGCGGAAGUUAAGAAUCUCACUGUAAGAACUCCGAGUUAAUCGUGAUCUUAUGUGGCAUGAAUUAUCUCAGAGUUCAGAGGUCGACUCGUAUUUUAUUAUAAUAUGACAUCGAUGUGUGCUAAUUUAAUAUUUUUUAUUGAUGGCUUAUCCAGUAGUUUAGAAGUUGUUUAAAAAGUUGAGCAAAUAGAUUUUAUAUGAUUCGUAGACCGAAUUCAAGAUUUGGGAUUUUCUCAAAAUAUCUGAAUUUGGGAUAAUUUUGUUUAUUAUCUGGAUAUCUAUACUAAAUUCUUAUGCUUAUAUUCUAACUACCGUGAUAACACGUAAAUAUAUUGUAUAUAUGUCACUUUAUCCAAAUACUUUUAAUGCAUUUGUCUAAACAUGAGAAAGUCAGCAGUCUGCAGUAUUUUCGUAUGCGUUUAAUCCGGUAAAUCGAACUAAUACAAUGUUAACCUAAUUAACAAAUCAAUUCAGAAAACUAAAUAUAUUUGAUUAUGUUUUAAAUAGAAUCAUGUUUUUUCAUUGGGAAUCAAGAUAAAAGUUUUACAAUAUAUAUAUAUAUAUAUUUAAAUUCAUAAAUCAGAAAUCUUAAAAGACAAAAUCUAAGAGGGAACCUAAAUUCUGAUUAAACAACACCGCUAUUUAUUUCUCUUACCGAAACACUCGAGCUGUAUUGUAUGCGUGGUGACCGUUUGGCACGAAAUAAUUUGCAUCUAUUCGUGGGUCGGGUUCACUAGUCAAAGUAUCGAUUGCGUAACUUUUCAAGUUACUGGUCCGUUGAUUUGUGGUAAUUCUUGGCACAUCUAAUCUACGAUAAAUUAAAAUUAGUUUUCUAUUUUAAAGUUGUAAUAUACUAUGAAUUUAGCUUCAAAAAACAUAAUUUGUUUUAUGCAAAUGCAACGAGAUGCCACACUCUCAAUAAUGUCGACAUGAAAAAGGAAAAUAAGACUAAUAUGCCCAUGAGAAUAUCCCCAAGAUUCCCCAUGCAAACGAGAGUAGCUACAGUAAUUAUAUAAUACAAAUCAUGUCUUAUAUAUUCAGUUAUCCCUUAUUGUCAAUUAUUUACAAAGCCUACCAUAAUUUUCAUUAAGCAAACAUACAUUGAAUAAUUACAUAUAUUGACGCAGUAAUAUAUUUCGAACACGAUGAUAGAGAUACACAUACUCCCUAAACAUGAUCCAAAGUACUCAUAAAUCUACCAAGCUACAAAACGGUGUCCAACAUUUGAUUAUUUGUAAUGGUUAUUUAUAUAUCUUCGGUGGGUGUCUCCUCAUCGGUAUCAGGCAAAUUAAAGAAAACAAAAGCAAAUAAGUUUCUAAAUUGCCCGUACGUGUGAAGUUUGAACAAUUUAUUAGUAAUGCAGUAGUAAUGCAUGAUACCGAUUAUUUAUUCAUGAAUCGACGUUGACGGGAAGAAAAAUAAUAAUUGAUGUUGACAUGAAUAAGGAGAGCUUGCCACGAAGAUGGUAGGAGCCGACAGAAAGCUAAAGUCCAUAAUUAAUUAUUUUGUUAAAAGAUAGUACUAAUGAUCGACUAUAGACCAUAACUUAGUAUUCCUCAUUUAUUAUUGUCUAUUUUCUACCAGCGAUGAUAAACACAAAUGAAACACACAGCAAAUUGUAAAUUCUGAUUCGAGAUGCAAUCUUAGAAACCUUAGCAAAGAAAACUUUAGAAUGCAACCAAACCAACUCAAAGUAAACCGAAAGAAUUAAUUGAGUCGAUGUUCCAGUUUUUGGAAGUAAAACCUCCAUUAUAUGCUGGUUAAUUACAUUUUUAUCAUUAAACUUUGAAAUGUUAUAAGAGAUCUAUGUUUAUUUAUUUAUUUGUGAUUAAUUAAUUCUCUGAUAUUUAUUGGAAAUAUUUGGAUUAUGCGGCCAAUAUAAUUUCUUUUAAGUGCUUGUAUAAUUAAAUAAAGUUGGUAGCCAUAUAGUCUAAAGUUGUGAUUGGUAUUUACGAUACUUUUUCCCUAAAGAUAAUUACUUUAAGAUGUUGACGAUGAAAUCCACGCGGUUUACGGAAUCUUCAGUUAACCGAGACAAUUAUUCCAUUCCAUCAAAUGUGAUUUGAGAAAUUAAUUGAAUGCUAAAUAUUUUCUCAAUCAUGGUUAACAUUUUAAUUUAGACUUCCGUAUACUUGACAUUUUCUUUUGCUUUUUGCUUUUUGUAUAUUGUUUACACUCUACAAACUUGAAUACACAAUAACAACAAACACAAUCCAUUAUCAGGUGUGCAACAUAAGUACAUUAAGUAGGGAACAAAACCAACGGCGAGACAGUGAAGCAACUUCUCUCGCACAAAAAAUCUUGUAAAAACAAUUGAUAAAAAGCGUUUAAAAUCGUCUGAUGUUAAGCGAAACAUAGGAAAUACAUAGUAUGAGGAUAUACAAUAACUUGCUACCUAUAACUAAACAGUAUAUAGAUUUAUCGCUAAUUAUUGAAUUUGUUUAGACUAAUGAUUGUGCUACUUUUGUAAUCUCUAAAUUAUCAAAACUUAUUGGACCAUAUAAAAUUAAGUGGAAGGUUGUUUCAUAUUGUAUAAAUAUCAUAUCGGAGACUUGGCAUUUCCGAUGAUAUUUUUACGUACACAUCCCAUUCGUAUCAUCUAAGGACACCACUUUGGUCAGUACAAGUGUACAACAUCUUUGGUCUUUUUUUCGUCAUCCUUUUGACGCAAUUAUAUGUAACUUUAGUGUUGUCUUAUUUUCUUUUGCCUCUUCGAUCUCUCUUUUUUUUAUUACUACUUUUAGAGCUACACUUUACGUUGCUAAAAAAAAAACUACACUUUAGAGCAUCUCCAAAAAACAUUAUAUAACUUCAAAUAUGAAGUUUUUUGCUCUCCAAAAAAGAACUUCAAAACUUCAAAUUUAAAGUUUUGAGGAGUCAAACUCUAUAUUUGAAGUUUCACUACUCAAAACUUCAAAUUUGAAAUUUCAUAUUUUUAUUUGUAUUUUGGUCCAUACAAUUACACAUCACAUUUAUAAUUCAUAAUUUUUUUAUUAUUAUUUUCAUCCUUAUAAAAAUUAUAUCUCAUAAGUAUUUUAAGUUUUGUUUACAAAAUUUAAGUUUACACAUAAAAUUAAAUAAAACUUUAAAAGAAGAUUUAAAAUAUUUAAAACUAGAUUUAGAUAACAAAAAUAUACAAAAAAACUUAACAAUUUUUUUUUAAGAAAUUACAUGAAGACAUAACUAUUAGACAAAUUUAAAUAUUACAAUGACACUAAUAGUCAGGUAAUUUUAAUCCGGAACCUUUAAAAUUUCCAAAUAUUGUCCAAUUUUUUUUGUGUAAUUGAAGAUGAUUGUUGUUGUUGAUGAUGUCUUUUCGUACAAUUAUUUCUUGUUCUUAUAUUCACGAGUAUUAAUAUCAUCGAUAAAAGUUAGUUUUUAGCAAUAUUUUAUGUUUUUCUUUUACUUUCUUGUUCUGAUCUAAUGUAUUUACAAGUAUGAAUAUCUCCUGAUUUCAACAAUUUUUUAUCUCUAAUCUACAAAUUAAAAAUGAGGAGAGCUAUUUUUCCUUCGAAAUGCACUAGUAUAUCAUAUAUGCAUUACGAAAAUCGCUUUAUGGAAUAAUAUGGUAUUUUGGUUGAAGCUUAAUAUUAAUUAAGUUAUUUUGUUUAAAAUUUUAUAUUUUAAUAUAAUAAUUUAUUAAUUAAUAUUGUUGUAAUAUGUUUAUAUAUGUGUUAGUUAUUUAAUUUUUUUUUAUGAAUUCAAAUUAGUAAUGACAAAUAUAAGGACCAUAUUAUAAAAUACAAAUAGUUUUGAAGUUAAGUUUGAAGUUUUGCUUUUGGAGAAAAACACCUUUAAACUUCAAAUAUAGAGUUUUGAAAACUUCAAAAUAGAGUUCAUUUUUGGAGACGCUCUUACAAGCCAUUUUUCAAUUUAUGUGUUGUGUGGUUUGAUUAUAUUGGAUGAAUUCAAAUAUAUUUUCAAAGCAUCAAAUGCUUUAUUUUCUUUUUGGUAAAUUUCAGUUAAGCUCUAGAUAACGACAAAAGAUAACUAUAUUCUAAACCUGAUUUCUAUAACUAGAGCUCUCUUCCAAUGAUAAAACUAAACACCUAUACAAAACCCAAAUUUUGCGGCAGGGCCAAGUUAAGAAAGACAAAUACCGAGAAGUGAGUUAACUUCAACAAAUGUAAAAGAACAUUAAAAUUUUAAAAUAAUAGAAAAUGAUAAACAAAAGCAAAGACGAUGGACCACACACAAAAUAAUAGCAAGUGAGCAGGACGAAAAAUGGAAAAAGAAGAAGAAAGGGAUAAGAAAAAUAGUUGGUAAAAUCUAACUGCCACAAUACUAGAAAAAGAGCAUAGAAAUGGGAAGGCAAACAGAGAAGCCUAAUUGGCUAAUGUCCAACGCAUGUCACUCUACCUACAAAUCUCAGUGGUCCUUAACAUCUACUUCUAACCAACCUCUUGAGUACAAUUAUCUAGAAAAUGCAUACAUACACAUAAGUCACGUAACAAAACCAUUACUGACAUCACCAUGUUAUAUCAUCAUGCCUUUAUGAAAUUAACAAACAUUGUUUUAGUCGUGAUAUACAGAAGAUAACAGCUAUCGGACCAAUAAUCUGCCUUGAUGAUAGGAGAUAUUUUUCGUACCAAUUGUUUAUUUUUAAUAUUUUACUUACCAUCCUUUAUUUUUGGGACGCGGAGAAUUUCAUGUAACAAAGAGCUCAAGACCAGAUGGUAAGGCCCCUUGCUUCCCUAGUGUGUGGGUGGGUUUUUGUUUUUGAAGAAACAAUAUUUAUGAGAAGAUGUCACUUUCUAAAAUUCUUAUUGGAUUAGGUAUUUUUUGGAACUGCGUUAUUAAAAACUACCCACUUUUUACAAUCUGUUCAUUAAAAACUUGUCAAAAAUAUGUUCUGGUCUAUCAAAACUUGCUCAUCACUUAGUAAUAAUGCUCCUUUUUAACUAAACACUUAAACUUAGUCGAUUAGAAACCAAACUAGUAUAUAUUUUGCACAUAUAUAUAUCUUACAAGUAACUCAUCCAUAGACAAGUUUAUAGGUGCUAGAUCUCGAAGCUGGACAUGUUUUGAUAGAACAUAACGUACUUUUGAACAAGUUCUGAUAGAAAAUAUCAAAAGUGGUAGUUUCUAAUACUUUUUUUUCUUAAUAUGGUAGAUCCAAAAGAUUUUGUUUUAAAAGGGCUAAAUGAGGAAAAACCUAAAUAGUGUAAUAAAAUAAUUAUACAAGAGGAAUUUAACACUUUUGAUUUAUUGUAGUACUGAUUCAUUGUAACGUCUUGAUGCGUCAACGUGAGCCCAUGUACAUAUUCUUAUCAAUGGGUUUCACCCUCUUCGAUAUCUUGCGCGUUAUCGAAAGAGUUCAAAAGAACUGAUAUAACCCUGUAACAUGAUCAUAUCCCAUAUUUUGUCCUAACUCAUACGAUAUUAAGAUUGAUCAGCAAUCAGCAAUCUGAUAGGUUAUCCAUUUUUUAAUUAGUCCAGUUCAAACAUAUUCAAAUGGUUAACUGGAAAAUCAAGUGUAUUUUAUAUCAGAGGCAACCAACAUCAAUUUUUAUGUCUUUUCUAUUUAAUCUACUAACUGGGGUAUUACGUACGUUGAUCCCACAGUCCGCAAUAGCAUCUCCAGCUACUGAGACUCUAACCCUACCUUAACUUCUGACAUGCUUUUUUGGUUUUCAACUUCUUAAGACCUAGUCUGCUUGAUAUCACGGAUUGCGAUCUCUUCUUCAACAAUCUCUCUGCAUGAUUGCGAUCUCUUCCUCCUCUAUGCUGUUUAUACUUGGACAAAGUAUUUUCUUCUAUUGAAGUAUAAAAUCUAUGGGUCUUUGCCCGUAGCAAACACUAUCUGGCCUGGGCUGUAUCAUCUUUGUAUCUUUUUAUUUAAAUAGCAAACUUAUCCUCAAAAACAAAUAUACCACCAUAAUUACAAAUUACAAUAUCGGCCUAAUCAUUUUCAAUAUGUUAGAUGAAGCCCAGUAUAUUCAACAAGCCCAUUAUAUUUUUAGUCUCGAAUUCAAUUUUAUUAACUCAGAUCCACCUACUCCUACCGGUCAUUAUCCCUUGAAACUCCUGAACAAGAUGGCAUCAGAUCUUACCGGGCGCUUUUAUGUCAGUAGAAGAAGCUUACCUCCAAAUCCUCAGUGUUUAUGUAUGUUUAACGCAGCCAAAACAACACGUUUUGUGUAAUAUUAAUUCCCAGUGUCUUUUUGUUCAUUGUAAUGCCAUUGGUUGUAACAUUAAUGCACAACUUCAACUGAACACUACCAAUAAAAACGUUUGUGAAAAAAGGUAAAUGUUAUUGCCAGUGAUCUAGACUCGUUACCAGUUUUAGGUCGGAAGGAAGCAUCAGUCCCAUUUAGUUUAUGGUUAACACGUUUUUUAGUUGAUUAGUGCGUAAUAAUGACCUGAAAUUAUAGCCUAUUCUCCGCUACAGUUAGAAGCAACGUAGCAUUCUGAUGAAGACUUGAUCUGUUUAAACCACACCUAACCCAUCGUUGCACCAAACUUUCUUUUUUUCAUUCAUACUUCAAGAAAUCUCAAUGCUCCUAAACUCUUUAUAUAACACACACAAUACUUCACCAAUUGUGACUUGGAGCUUCCAUCUCAAACACAAUGGAUUCAACUUCAAUCAUUUGGUCUCUUCUAUUAGCUUUUGCUCUUAUCUCUCCCUUUAGUGUCAAUGCACAAGGACCUGCCGCUUCACCAGCAACCCCCACCACCACUACUCCUCCUCCAACCAUCACUGUUCCUCCACCAACAACCACUGCUACGCCACCAACAACCACUGUUCCCCCCCCAACAACCACUGCUCAGCCUCCAACAACAGUCGUUCCGCCCGUUUCAGCUACUCCGCCACCAGCAACACCGACUACACCUCCACCAGCAGUUACUCCAACUUCAUCACCACCAGCUCCAAAGGUUGCACCAGUAAUCAGUCCAGUAACUCCACCUCCACAACCACCACCAAGCCCGCCCGUUUCAGCUCCAACCGUCUCACCACCACCAGCUACACCACCACCUGCACCGGCCUCUCCUCCACCGGCGUCACCACCUGCACCAACUUCUCCACCACCAGCACCAGCCUCACCCCCUCCAGCGCUUACGCCAAUAACUCUACCACCAGCUCCAGCUCCUGCUAAGCACAAGAAAAAGCACAAACACAAGCGGCAUCACCAUGCCCCGGCUCCAGCACCAACUCCUCCAAGCCCUCCAUCUCCUCCAGUUCUAACAGAUUCCCAGGACACUGCUCCAGC